This 401-nucleotide ribosomal RNA is filed under the name uncultured Glomeromycotina. RNAcentral describes it as "SSU rRNA". It matches the Rfam family "Eukaryotic small subunit ribosomal RNA", at positions 693 to 1092 of the family's 1831-position model. The record is from RNAcentral. Lineage: Eukaryota; Fungi; Glomeromycota.
UUUCUCCCUUCUGACGAGCCGUGAUGUCAUUCAUUUGGUGUUACGGGGAGUCAGGACUGUUACUUUGAAAAAAUUAGAGUGUUUAAAGCAGGCAAUCGCUCGAAUACAUUAGCAUGGAAUAAUGAAAUAGGACGUUCGAACCUAUUUUGUCGGUUUCUAGGAUCGACGUAAUGAUUAAUAGGGAUAGUUGGGGGCAUUAGUAUUCAAUUGUCAGAGGUGAAAUUCUUGGAUUUAUUGAAGACUAACUACUGCGAAAGCAUUUGCCAAGGAUGUUUUCAUUAAUCAAGAACGAAAGUUAGGGGAUCGAAGACGAUCAGAUACCGUCGUAGUCUUAACCAUAAACUAUGCCGACUAGGGAUCGGAUGAUGUUAAUUUUUUAAUGACUCAUUCGGCGCCUUACG